AUUGAACGCUGGCGGCAUGCCUUACACAUGCAAGUCGAACGGCAGCGGACCUUCGGGUGCCGGCGAGUAGCGAACGGGUGAGUAAUAUAUCGGAACGUACCUUUCAGUGGGGGAUAACGUAGCGAAAGUUACGCUAAUACCGCAUAUUCUGUGAGCAGGAAAGCAGGGGAUCGCAAGACCUUGCGCUGAUUGAGCGGCCGAUAUCAGAUUAGCUAGUUGGUGAGGUAAAGGCUCACCAAGGCGACGAUCUGUAGCGGGUCUGAGAGGAUGAUCCGCCACACUGGAACUGAGACACGGUCCAGACUCCUACGGGAGGCAGCAGUGGGGAAUUUUGGACAAUGGGCGCAAGCCUGAUCCAGCCAUGCCGCGUGAGUGAAGAAGGCCU
This 385-nucleotide ribosomal RNA is filed under the name uncultured bacterium. RNAcentral describes it as "bacterial SSU rRNA". It matches the Rfam family "Bacterial small subunit ribosomal RNA", at positions 30 to 417 of the family's 1533-position model. The record is from RNAcentral.